Molecule: ribosomal RNA, 444 nt
Filed under: uncultured bacterium
Lineage: Bacteria
Description: bacterial SSU rRNA
Rfam family: Bacterial small subunit ribosomal RNA
Source: RNAcentral
ACGCGAAAGGCCCCUUCGGGGGCCGAGUAGAGUGGCGUCCGGGUGAGUAACACGUGGGUAAUCUACCUUCGGGUGGGGAAUAACAGCCGGAAACGGCUGCUAAUACCGCAUAAUGCAGCGGCACCUAAUGGUGACAGUUGUUAAAGCGGGGGAUCGUAAGACCUCGCGCCUGAAGAGGAGCCCGCGGCGGAUUAGCUAGUUGGCGGGGUAACGGCCCACCAAGGCGACGAUCCGUAGCCGGCCUGAGAGGGCGGUCGGCCACACUGGCACUGACACACGGGCCAGACUCCUACGGGAGGCAGCAGUCGGGAAUUUUGGGCAAUGGACGAAAGUCUGACGCAGCGACGCCGCGUGUGGGAUGACGGUCUUCGGAUUGUAAACCACUGUCGGGAGGGACGAAUACGCCGCAAGGCGGGUGACGGUACCUCCAAAGGAAGCACCGGC